Molecule: ribosomal RNA, 471 nt
Filed under: Barteria fistulosa
Lineage: Eukaryota; Viridiplantae; Streptophyta; Magnoliopsida; Malpighiales; Passifloraceae
Description: eukaryotic LSU rRNA
Rfam family: 5.8S ribosomal RNA (bases 157-312)
Source: RNAcentral
CGGCGGGCCUGUUCCGUCGCCCCGUUCCCCUUCCCCCACGAACAAAACCCCGGCGCACGAUGCGCCAAGGAAUCGCAACGAGAAAAGGAACGAGCACCCGUYGCGCGYCGGGAACGGAAUGCGCACGGGCGGCCUCGUAUUCUUUGAAAACAAAACGACUCUCGGCAACGGAUAUCUCGGCUCUCGCAUCGAUGAAGAACGUAGCGAAAUGCGAUACUUGGUGUGAAUUGCAGAAUCCCGUGAACCAUCGAGUCUUUGAACGCAAGUUGCGCCCGAAGCCUUCGGGCCGAGGGCACGUCUGCCUGGGUGUCAUGCACCGUCGCCCCCCAUCCCCACUCCCCCGAGGGGAGUCGGGAAGCCCGGGGCGGACAAUGGCCUCCCGUGCGCUCUCGCUCGCGGUUGGCCUAAAUCCGAGUUGUUGGCGGCGAGCGCCACGGCAAGCGGUGGUUGGAAAGACCCUCUGAAGUGCCG